RNAcentral lists this non-coding RNA (29 nucleotides) under Mus musculus (house mouse). Lineage: Eukaryota; Metazoa; Chordata; Mammalia; Rodentia; Muridae. The record is from RNAcentral.
UAAAAGAUUAAAACUAGGGAGAGCUAAGA